CAUGAAUAAAUCAUGACAGCUGGUAACAGUUUCUGUCUGCAGAUUUAAUGACCCAGGCACAUUUUGGUAUCUUCCACUGAUUGAAGGAGGGAUUGUGGAUUUGAUAGGUUUAAGUGCAGAUACCUUUACUUUCGGUUUCUCCUUUGUCUUACAGCUGGUUGUGAUGCAUCCUCUCAUUAGACAAGAGUUGGGACUAUGUCUCUAUCAGUCACUUCAAAAAACACCCUGGAGGAGAAGCAAGCACUUCACAGCUGUUUAGUUUGCCAUUAUGUUGGCGUUUUCCUGUCUGAGUUAAUGCUCAGAAAAAGAAAGGCUCCCUGUGGGCUCUUUAUGCAGUUUCAGCACUGGACAGCUCCUGAAGCAGAGCUCCAUAGUUUUCCUUCACUGGUGACAAUCUGAGAAGGGCAAACGUUCACAGGGAUUGAUUGAAAAAUGCCUCACUGAAGGAUAUAAAUACUUGAUCUUAGCAUUUUUGCUGGUUACACAAGAUGAUAAACAGGCAGUGCUUCAGAGGGCUACUAAUGGCCAGUGUUUUUCACUCAUGUAUUACAGCUCCCACAGGCUGUGUGUGCAGCUUUGAUUUGUGGGGAUCAAAGUGAUUCCCCAGGAUCUGCCAAAAAAAGAGAACCCUGACCCUAAAAUGAAGGAGAAUGUAAGUGAGUAGAAGACACUAUUGUCAGCAUCAUUUUUUUUCUAAUGCAGGACUAAAAAGCAGCUCAUAAUGAUAUAGAAACUUUGUGUUACUCAGUCAAUCAAUCAAUUAACCCUAGAACACUAUUGCUAAAAUUGGUAACUCUAUCACUAUCGCUGGGGGAUUUUUACCCAAAACAAUGUACCAUUAGGGGACUAUAAAAAAUGCAACAUAAUAACUGAAAAUAGGCAUUCAUGAACAAAAAUAUUCACAUAUAUAUAUAUAUAUAUAUAUAUGAGUAAACUUAGUUCCUUUUCCACCCAUUCCUGGAGCAUGUGAGUCUUCCCACUCAGGGUCCUUGGCACAAUAAAAGCUGCAGGGGAGAGAACCAAAAUAUGGCAGAUUUUGAGUAAGUAAAAAUGACCAGCUGACUACAAUAUUUCUUAUCACCAUAUAAAUUCUCUUGAAAAACACUACUUUGUUCUAGUUAUUCAUAACCACUGCGCUAAAUAAAGAUAGCACGCAAAUUCCAGGACCACUCUUACUGACCUUUUUUCCCUACAUGCAGCUUUCAAAUCCACCUAAACCUACUUUACCCUCUAUCACUCUUGCCGGGUGAAAAUCACCUGAACAUGUACCUGUAGGAAAAAGCAGGUUUUGGAUCAGGGAAACAAAUAUGCCUUUAAAGAUGUCAAAGGCAAUGCUGAAGCUACCCAGGGACACAUGAUACUCAGACAAACGCAACAUAAUGAAAAUCACGUAAACAUAUUUGGUCGGGUGAAAAUCACCUGGCGUUAGUGUUCUAGGGAUAACCAGACUUUAUUUAUGUAGCACUUAUCAUACAAAAAGUUGUCACACAAAUUUACCUGCUGUCCAUUAAAAACAAUCUCACAUGCCCUUCCCCCCAAUGAGCCUACCCCCACAACUGCCUUACCGCCCACAGCCACAGGACACUGACACAUGGCCCAGAGGACAGCUGGAGCAGCCACCAACCUCCACCAGGAAUCCACGAGACAGGCCCCCAGACCACAGAGGGCUCCCCAAGAGGAAACACUAUGGGUCCUAAAGAUUAUUAAAGGAUAAAAAUAAGUUAAAAAAACUAAAAUAUGAAUAAAACACAGACUUUAAAAUAAUGUAGGUAGGCAAAGAUAAAUAUGGAAUAAGAAACCUAAGCAACCAGCAUAAAUGAAGAUCAAAUAAAUACAUAUUAAUCAACAGCUAGGCUAAAGAGGUGGGCCUUGAGCCCACUCUUGGAAACAUAAACGUCCUCUGCAACCCUGAGGUCCUCUGGCAGGCUGCAAAGAUGAGGGUUGUGAUACUGGACAGACGCCUCCCUGUGAGUGUGUGUCCUGACUUGGGAAUGACUAAGAGCCUGUUGCCAGAGGAGGUUCCUAAAAGCAGUUCUGAGAGAUAAGAAGGCCAGAGACCCAUUGAUACAUUUAAAAACAAGUAAAAGAACCUUAAAAUCGAUCCUAAACCACACAGGGAGCAAAUGCAAUGAUUCCAAAACCAGUGUAAUAUAUUUUAAAUGAUACCGAGGGUUAAACUUCAGUUUCUAUCUUUGUGUUAUUCAGACAGAUGCUGAUAAUUUGACACAGAUAGAGGAUCAUGAAUAAAAUGGCUUAUUGUAUAAAUACCUUAGUGAACCUUGGCUUUUAGCAACAUUAGACUUAGUUUGUUUCAGUGCAACACUUUCCAAGAGAAAAAAAAAAUACACUUAUUAAGCCAAAGUUCCUCCUAUUGUUGAAAAGAAUAUAGGAUUUGGGUGUAAUUUCCAUAUAAAUUGUUGUUUUUCUGUUUUCCAUAGAAAAGGAACAAAGUAAUAAGUUUAGUUGUUCGCUCUCUACACCAAAGGAAGAGUCAGCCAGAGGUCAUACUUUGGAGAUCCUUUUUUUAAUGCAUAAAAUUGUUUUAAAUUAAUCAUUUUGUUGCCGCACCUGACCCAGGAGCAGAUUUUAAAGGAGAAAUAACAAAAGGCUUAAGCAGGGCACACACUCCAAGACAAUCAUGCUGACUUGGAGCCGAUUUACCCCCUCUGA
RNAcentral lists this long non-coding RNA (2670 nucleotides) under Xyrichtys novacula (pearly razorfish). Lineage: Eukaryota; Metazoa; Chordata; Actinopteri; Labriformes; Labridae. The record is from RNAcentral.